GACGAACGCUGGCGGCGUGCUUAACACAUGCAAGUCGAACGGAAAGGCCCUGCUUGCAGGGUACUCGAGUGGCGAACGGGUGAGUAACACGUGGGUGAUCUGCCCUGCACUUCGGGAUAAGCCUGGGAAACUGGGUCUAAUACCGGAUAGGGGCCAUUUUUAGUGUGAUGGUUGGAAAGUUUUUUCGGUGUAGGAUGAGCUCGCGGCCUAUCAGCUUGUUGGUGGGGUAAUGGCCUACCAAGGCGGCGACGGGUAGCCGGCCUGAGAGGGUGGACGGCCACAUUGGGACUGAGAUACGGCCCCGACUCCUACGGGAGGCAGCAGUGGGGAAUAUUGCACAAUGGGCGCAAGCCUGAUGCAGCGACGCCGCGUGGGGGAUGACGGCCUUCGGGUUGUAAACUCCUUUCGCUAGGGACGAAGCUUUUUGUGACGGUACCUAGAUAAGAAGCACCGGCUAACUACGUG
Molecule: ribosomal RNA, 465 nt
Filed under: uncultured bacterium
Lineage: Bacteria
Description: partial 16S ribosomal RNA
Rfam family: Bacterial small subunit ribosomal RNA
Source: RNAcentral